AUUGAACGCUGGCGGCAUGCCUUACACAUGCAAGUCGAACGGCAGCACGGGUGCUUGCACCUGGUGGCGAGUGGCGAACGGGUGAGUAAUACAUCGGAACAUGUCCUGUAGUGGGGGAUAGCCCGGCGAAAGCCGGAUUAAUACCGCAUACGAUCUACGGAUGAAAGCGGGGGACCUUCGGGCCUCGCGCUAUAGGGUUGGCCGAUGGCUGAUUAGCUAGUUGGUGGGGUAAAGGCCUACCAAGGCGACGAUCAGUAGCUGGUCUGAGAGGACGACCAGCCACACUGGGACUGAGACACGGCCCAGACUCCUACGGGAGGCAGCAGUGGGGAAUUUUGGACACUGGGCGAAAGCCUGAUCCAGCAAUGCCGCGUGUGUGAAGAAGGCCUUCGGGUUGUAAAGCACUUUUGUCCGGAAAGAAAUCCUUGGCCCUAAUACGGUCGGGGGAUGACGGUACCGGAAGAAUAAGCACCGGCUAACUACGUG
This 486-nucleotide ribosomal RNA is filed under the name uncultured bacterium. Its description in RNAcentral is "partial 16S ribosomal RNA". It matches the Rfam family "Bacterial small subunit ribosomal RNA", at positions 30 to 507 of the family's 1533-position model. The record is from RNAcentral.